RNAcentral lists this ribosomal RNA (1053 nucleotides) under Frondihabitans sp. 734G19. RNAcentral describes it as "bacterial SSU rRNA". It matches the Rfam family "Bacterial small subunit ribosomal RNA", at positions 56 to 1117 of the family's 1533-position model. Lineage: Bacteria; Bacillati; Actinomycetota; Actinomycetes; Micrococcales; Microbacteriaceae. The record is from RNAcentral.
UGCAGUCGAACGAUGAUCCCCAGCUUGCUGGGGGGAUUAGUGGCGAACGGGUGAGUAACACGUGAGUAACCUGCCCUUGACUCUGGGAUAAGCGUUGGAAACGACGUCUAAUACCGGAUAUGACUCCUGGCCGCAUGGUCUGGGGGUGGAAAGAUUUUUUGGUCAAGGAUGGACUCGCGGCCUAUCAGGUAGUUGGUGAGGUAAUGGCUCACCAAGCCGACGACGGGUAGCCGGCCUGAGAGGGUGACCGGCCACACUGGGACUGAGACACGGCCCAGACUCCUACGGGAGGCAGCAGUGGGGAAUAUUGCACAAUGGGCGAAAGCCUGAUGCAGCAACGCCGCGUGAGGGACGACGGCCUUCGGGUUGUAAACCUCUUUUAGUAGGGAAGAAGGGAGCUUGCUCUUGACGGUACCUGCAGAAAAAGCACCGGCUAACUACGUGCCAGCAGCCGCGGUAAUACGUAGGGUGCAAGCGUUGUCCGGAAUUAUUGGGCGUAAAGAGCUCGUAGGCGGUUUGUCGCGUCUGCUGUGAAAUCUGGGGGCUCAACCCCCAGCCUGCAGUGGGUACGGGCAGACUAGAGUGCGGUAGGGGAGAUUGGAAUUCCUGGUGUAGCGGUGGAAUGCGCAGAUAUCAGGAGGAACACCGAUGGCGAAGGCAGAUCUCUGGGCCGUAACUGACGCUGAGGAGCGAAAGCAUGGGGAGCGAACAGGAUUAGAUACCCUGGUAGUCCAUGCCGUAAACGUUGGGAACUAGAUGUAGGGGCCAUUCCACGGUUUCUGUGUCGCAGCUAACGCAUUAAGUUCCCCGCCUGGGGAGUACGGCCGCAAGGCUAAAACUCAAAGGAAUUGACGGGGGCCCGCACAAGCGGCGGAGCAUGCGGAUUAAUUCGAUGCAACGCGAAGAACCUUACCAAGGCUUGACAUAUACCGGAAACGUCCAGAGAUGGUCGCCCCGCAAGGUCGGUAUACAGGUGGUGCAUGGUUGUCGUCAGCUCGUGUCGUGAGAUGUUGGGUUAAGUCCCGCAACGAGCGCAACCCUCGUUCUAUGUUG